Molecule: RNA transcript, 1453 nt
Organism: Metopolophium dirhodum (rose-grain aphid)
Lineage: Eukaryota; Metazoa; Arthropoda; Insecta; Hemiptera; Aphididae
Gene name: putative RNA polymerase II subunit B1 CTD phosphatase RPAP2 homolog
Exons: 7
Source: RefSeq, a predicted model, not a curated record
ACACAGAUAUCUAUACUAUAGACACAGAAUAAUAUAUGAAAUUUCAUAUAUUCUGUGAUAUAGAUGUCUGUGAUUGUGGAUAGUCUAAUCAAAUUACUAUUUGAUAACACAUCUUAUCUCUAUCAAAUUCACCCAUACUUCUAAACUUAUUGAUGUUAAUUUAUGUUAACUUAUUGUAUAAUUAAUAUCAAUGCAAUUCGAAUAGACGUACUAACUAAUAACUAUUGUUAGUCCUCAUAAUUGAAAUAUAGUUGUUUAUGUAAUUUACAUAACUAGCUUGUAGUUAUUAUGUCUAUGGUGCUACUAUGGGUUAUAACGUUUGAGAUCAUAUUUGGCACUAGUAUCUAGUAUAUUAUUUCUGAAAUUUCAGAAGAUUUAAAGUACAAACUACCUAUUACCGUUGAAAUUUAAAAAAGUUAGGUAUUACAUAAAGCGGAAGUCGGAAGAUAAGGUUCACAAGGUAUCAUCGAUACAUUUUUUCAAUAUGGAUAAUUUAAAAAAACCAAAUAUUUCAAAAAAGAAAAAAGAACAGUUAUCAAAAAAUAUCCUUGAAACUUUAAAAAAAAAAAAGGAAUGUGAGAAAAAAGCAUUAGAUAUUGUGAUUGAGCUAAUCGAUGGUGGAUUUGAAGAAGCGGACUUGUUAAAUAAGCUGCAUUCAAUUAAUCCUUGCCACUAUGAAGAUGUAGUAGAAGAAAGAUUUAUAUUAAAACAAUGUGGAUAUGUUAUGUGUGAAAAGAAGUUGGAGUAUAUACCAAAUCAAAAGUACAAGAUAUCAUUAGCCCUCAAAAAGGUGUAUGAUAUCACAGAAAGGAAGAAAUUUUGCUCCAAUAUAUGCUUUAAAAGUUCAAAAUAUUUACAAAAUCAAUUACUUACCACACCACUGUGGUUGCGCGAAAAAGAUACAGUACCAACAUUUAAAUUAUUAAACUUACAUACAGAUAAGGAUAUUGCAUACCAUUUGCACACCAUACCUGAUGGUCACACAAAAUCAACACCAUUAAUUACUAUUCCUACACCUAGUGAUACCAAGAGAACGCAACUGGGCAGCGACCAAAAUGUGUCCGAGUUGAUGCAACCCCUACCAAUUUCACUUACUGACAACCCGUUUGAUCAUGGUAUUUAACCGUCAGCAACACUAUACAAAAUACAAAGUGGGGGAAACAGUAGCUCGGAAUGGUUGCUGCUGUCAAUCUGCAUGUGAGAAACGAUUGCGUUCCGUCAUGAGCUAGAGUAUACAUUCUUAAUUAUCUUCUGCAAAUACUAUGAUAAAUUAACAAGAUGAUAAAGUGUGGUGAUGAAGUCAUAAUGCUUCUUAAGUAUUUCAUAUAAAAAGACUGAUCUUGAAGAACAACUUAACAACUUAAGUUCUCUUAACAUUAAAAACUAAUAGUUAAAAAAUCAAUUACUGGAAAAGAAUCAACUACCAGCAGAUAAUCAAUUACAUCAGUAAUCA